UUUUAAUGUAGAGCUAAAGGAAUUCGGUGUUUCAGCUAUUUUGCAGUUUUCUGGAAGUUUGUUUCAGAUUUGUGGCGCAUAGAAGUUGAAUGCUAUCUCGUUUUGUUCUGAUAG
This is a long non-coding RNA of Poecilia latipinna (sailfin molly), 114 nucleotides long. RefSeq lists it as uncharacterized. The transcript has 3 exons. The record is from RefSeq and is a predicted model, not a curated record. Lineage: Eukaryota; Metazoa; Chordata; Actinopteri; Cyprinodontiformes; Poeciliidae.